Talpa occidentalis (Iberian mole) is the source of this 246-nucleotide long non-coding RNA. RefSeq lists it as uncharacterized. NCBI's taxonomy places the organism in Eukaryota, Metazoa, Chordata, Mammalia, Eulipotyphla, Talpidae. The transcript has 3 exons. The record is from RefSeq and is a predicted model, not a curated record.
CAGGGAUUCUUCCAAAUGACUCAGAAUCAAAGGGGCCGUAGGCACCAUGAUGUAACGAAGGCUGGAUUGAAGAUGUUCUCGUGAGCAUCCUGAAAUCCAAAAUGAUGAUUCAAUAUCCAUCCAGAGGCAUGAUUUGCAUGGAGGAAAAGGGAAGCAGAAACCAAUGACAACAAAACAAGUAUGUGUGUGCCAGACACUGUUAUGAAAACCCAGCAGGUAUUGUUAACCCAUUAAAUCCUUUUCAAA